Molecule: ribosomal RNA, 497 nt
Filed under: uncultured bacterium
Lineage: Bacteria
Description: partial 16S ribosomal RNA
Rfam family: Bacterial small subunit ribosomal RNA
Source: RNAcentral
GAUGAACGCUGGCGGCGUGCCUAAUACAUGCAAGUCGAGCGAACAGACGAGGAGCUUGCUCCUCUGAUGUUAGCGGCGGACGGGUAAGUAACACGUGGAUAACCUACCUAUAAGACUGGGAUAACUUCGGGAAACCGGAGCUAAUACCGGAUAACAUGUUGAACCGCAUGGUUCAACAGUGAAAGACGGUCUUGCUGUCACUUAUAGAUGGAUCCGCGCCGCAUUAGCUAGUUGGUAAGGUAACGGCUUACCAAGGCAACGAUGCGUAGCCGACCUGAGAGGGUGAUCGGCCACACUGGAACUGAGACACGGUCCAGACUCCUACGGGAGGCAGCAGUAGGGAAUCUUCCGCAAUGGGCGAAAGCCUGACGGAGCAACGCCGCGUGAGUGAAGAAGGUCUUCGGAUCGUAAAACUCUGUUAUUAGGGAAGAACAAAUGUGUAAGUAACUAUGCACGUCUUGACGGUACCUAAUCAGAAAGCCACGGCUAACUACGUG